RNAcentral lists this long non-coding RNA (1486 nucleotides) under Gouania willdenowi (blunt-snouted clingfish). Its description in RNAcentral is "lncRNA (ENSGWIG00000002673.1)". The record is from RNAcentral. Lineage: Eukaryota; Metazoa; Chordata; Actinopteri; Blenniiformes; Gobiesocidae.
AGCGUUCUAUAAAUGACGAGUUACAUUUAUGAGCCUAUAAAUACGUCAGUUUGACUGAACAGACACAUCACAGCAGCUGCUUUAAACGGAGACAAUCAUAUCUUUGCUAAACAUCACAGAAAAACUGAUACAAUGGAGACGAAAAACACACAAGGAAAUUGUUACCAACCAGGUCAAGGUCCUAAUAGGAAGAAAAACUACCAGCGCGAGAAACGAGCUCGGAAGCGCGCGAGAGAACGGGCUGCUCUGCUCCAAACUCAGGGAGAUGUCUCCACUGAGUCUGUGGUUGUUACCAGCCCUGUGGAGGUUCAGGUAAAACCAAUAGUCCAAACCCUGCAUGAAGAAGAACAGGUUGGGCUUAAUGAAGAAGCAAUAGCAGUCGCUCAGGAGUCUGUGGUUGCUACCAGCCCUGUGGAGGUUCACGUCCCCCAUGCAGAAGAACAGGUUGGGCUUAAUGAAGAAGCAAUAGCAGUCGCUCAGGAGUCUGUGGUUGCUACCAGCCCUGUGGAGGUUCACGUCCCCCAUGCAGAAGAACAGGUUGGGCUUAAUGAAGAAGCAAUAGCAGUCGCUCAGGAGUCUGUGGUUGCUACCAGCCCUGUGGAGGUUCACGUCCCCCAUGCAGAAGAACAGGUUGGGCUUAAUGAAGAAGCAAUAGCAGUCGCUCAGGAGUCUGUGGUUGCUACCAGCCCUGUGGAGGUUCACGUCCCCCAUGCAGAAGAACAGGUUGGGCUUAAUGAAGAAGCAAUAGCAGUCGCUCAGGAGUCUGUGGUUGCUACCAGCCCUGUGGAGGUUCACGUCCCCCAUGCAGAAGAACAGGUUGGGCUUAAUGAAGAAGCAAUAGCAGUCGCUCAGGAGUCUGUGGUUGCUACCAGCCCUGUGGAGGUUCACGUCCCCCAUGCAGAAGAACAGGUUGAGCUUAAUGGAGAAGCAAUAGAAGUUGCUCAGGAGGUCACUGAGCUCAGUUUUUCAGUGGUUCAUCGAUCAGAAGACCAGGAGAUUUCACAGCCCCAAUUGGAUUUUCUGAUCCACAUGAUGGAGAACCAGGAGAAGGAGUGGAAGACCAAAAUUCUGCGUUGUCAACAUCAGAUUGAAUUUCUCUUUGACCAGCAGAAGGACAUCGAUGCCCUCAAAGAGUCUGUGGUGCAGUUCCACCAAACCUUAAAGGACCAGACAAUUCAGUGGCAGAAAAACUUGGACAUCAUCUUGGAAGCUCAGGAGAAAAACAGACAGGAUAUAAAGUACAUCAGAGAGCAGAUGGAAAAGGAAAAAAAUUCUCCCAAAAAGGAAAAUUUUUUUCAGCAACUCGUCAAAAAUGUGAGGAAGCUGUGGCAGAAGAUGAAACAGAUUGUGAUUGGCUCCAAGCAGACACCAAGAAAACAUGAGUCACAUCUAAUUGUUAAAAAGUAUUUCAAUCAAAUUUCAAUUUGAUUGAAAUACUUUGCAUCAGAACGCUGAGAAACAGUCAUGUGACUCCAACACAGCCGCC